RNAcentral lists this ribosomal RNA (468 nucleotides) under uncultured bacterium. RNAcentral's name for it is "SSU rRNA". It matches the Rfam family "Bacterial small subunit ribosomal RNA", at positions 26 to 518 of the family's 1533-position model. The record is from RNAcentral.
AGGACGAACGCUGGCGGCGUGCUUAACACAUGCAAGUGGAGCGACGAACCAGGGCUUGCCCUGGGGCAGAGCCGCGAACGGGUGAGUAACACGUGGGUUACCUGCCUUGAUGACCGGGACAACCCGAGGAAACUCGGGCUAAUACCGGAUGUGCCCGCAAGGGGAAAGGAAGCUUCGGCCUCCGCAUCAAGAUGGGCCCGCGGCCCAUUAGCUUGUUGGUGAGGUAACGGCUCACCAAGGCUUCGAUGGGUAGCUGGUCUGAGAGGACGAUCAGCCACACUGGGACUGAGACACGGCCCAGACUCCUACGGGAGGCAGCAGUUAGGAAUUUUCCGCAAUGGGCGAAAGCCUGACGGAGCAACGCCGCGUGAGUGAUGAAGACCUUCGGGUUGUAAAGCUCUGUCGGAGGGAAGAACACAAUGACGGUACCCUCCAAGAACGCCCGGCUAACUACGUGCCAGCAGCCGC